AAGGCUCUAAAUCAAGGCCAAGAGCUCUCUGUAGCCACUGGUUUCAAACAGGAGCCGAGAGUAAACAUCUUCCUAUGGUCUGUUGGGACUCCGUUUUUCCUUUGUUGAGAGUCUUUCAAUUCAGUUGGAAGAAAUAAUU
Molecule: small nucleolar RNA, 139 nt
Organism: Callorhinchus milii (elephant shark)
Lineage: Eukaryota; Metazoa; Chordata; Chondrichthyes; Chimaeriformes; Callorhinchidae
Source: Ensembl